Molecule: transfer RNA, 72 nt
Filed under: Microcoleus sp. SM1_3_4
Lineage: Bacteria; Bacillati; Cyanobacteriota; Cyanophyceae; Oscillatoriales; Microcoleaceae
Description: tRNA-Ala
Rfam family: tRNA
About the family: Transfer RNA (tRNA) molecules are approximately 80 nucleotides in length.
Source: RNAcentral
GGGGUUAUAGCUCAGUUGGUAGAGCACUACAAUGGCAUUGUAGGGGUCAGCGGUUCGAACCGCUUAACUCCA